AUGGCUGCAGAUUCCGUCGGCACCGCGUCAUCGCCACCGCCGCUACCCCACCGCGACCCUUCCCGUGACUUCUCACACGAGGCGUCCUCCUCAUCCUCCUCGCGCGCCGCGGGGGCACAGCCGGUGUCGUGUGAUGGCCGCGCUGAGGAGGACGUGCUGGACAUUGACUCUCCGUGGGUCGCGGCGGCCGCGGCUGAUUCGAGGCUGGAGGAAGCCGCGGCUUGCCUUCAGCCUGAGAGCGAGGCGGACGAAGACGAGAUACGAAACAAUCAGGAGCGACAAGAGGACGAGCUGAUGGCAUUGGAAGCAAUAUAUGGGGAUGACCUCGUCGAAUUCAGAAGCAAAGCAGGGCUCCGCUAUUUCCAGAUCUGCAUACGUUACGAUCUUCAUGAUGACGCUCAAGUGUGUGCCAGGCUUUCUUCAGCUACUGAAAAAGCAAAAUAUGGAGGAUGUCCUGAUGAUGAUCAUGACACAAAAGAACAUGAUGCUGGGCCUGAUGAAUUCUCUUACACCUGCAACUUUGAGUACUUGCCUCCUUUGAUAUUGACAUGCCUACUUCCAAAAUCGUAUCCUAGCAAAGAGCCCCCGUAUUUUACUGUAACCGCUAAAUGGAUGGAUGGGCCUGAUGUUUCUCAACUCUGUGAGAUGCUUGAUACUAUCUGGGCAGAGCUGCCAGGGCAGGAAGUGAUAUAUCAAUGGGUCGAGUGGAUACGAAGUUCUUCCUUGUUAAAUCUCUGGUUUGAUGGCAAAAUAUUGUUAGGUCAAGACAUUCAGAGCAGGAGACACAACGGAGAUCGGCGUGCAAUCUCAAGAAGUAUCUCACUGGAGUCUGUGAUCCCUUCCAUGCUCAGCUACAGUAGUAAGAAACGUUACCAAGCUUUUCUUGAGGACCUCCAUAUGUGCAAGAUAUGCCUUAACCAGUGGAAAGGUUCAAACUUCAUCAAGCUUCCAUGCCAGCACUUGUAUUGUGUGAAGUGCAUGGAGACGUUAUGCAAGAUGCAUGUGAAGGAAGGCACUUUGUUUCAGUUAGUUUGCCCUGACACCAAGUGCAAUACUUCCAUUCCACACCAUCUGCUAAAGAGGCUUCUUAGCAAAGAAGAGUUUGAACGCUGGGAUAGGCUUGCUCUGGAGAAAGCGUUGGACUCAAUGGCAGACGUGGUUUACUGCCAAAAAUGUGUGGUUGGUUGCGUGGAAGAUGAGGAUAACAAUGCAGAAUGUCCGAAAUGUUCGUAUACCUUCUGCGGUUUUCGCAAGGAAUUAUGGCAUCCAGGGAAACAAUGUCUAACUCCAGAACAAAAGCUCCAACGUCGGAGGGGGUCAGGCAGAAUGACUGAGAGGGAGGUAGCGCAAGAACUAUCGAACAUCAGAGAGUUAUACAAAGAUGUUCGGGUAUGUCCGAAAUGCCGAAUUGCCAUCGCCAAAAGUGAAGGCUGCAACAAAAUGGUGUGUGGAAACUGUGGUCAGUUCUUUUGCUUCCGCUGCGGCAAGGCGAUCCGUGGCUACAGUCAUUUCACGAACUGUCGCCUCUUUGAGUCUCAUGACAUGACAGACUUGGAUAGACAAAUAGAUGAACUGCAAUUUGGAAACCAGAUGCGGAAUCAGUUGAAACCAGUAGGCGCUAUGGUGAGAUGUCCAAGGUGUCGUGAAAUGACUUUCAAGGACGAUGAGAAAUAUAUCUUCUGUAUGGUGUGCGCAGCAAGCUCUUGCACAAUGUGCAAACGGAUAAUCACGGAUAGGAGGAUGAAGAGCGGGCACUGGGGGUCGUCAGAAUGCUACUCCUUGUAG
Molecule: ribosomal RNA, 1785 nt
Filed under: Triticum aestivum (bread wheat)
Lineage: Eukaryota; Viridiplantae; Streptophyta; Magnoliopsida; Poales; Poaceae
Description: partial small subunit ribosomal RNA
Source: RNAcentral